Triticum aestivum (bread wheat) is the source of this 103-nucleotide non-coding RNA. Lineage: Eukaryota; Viridiplantae; Streptophyta; Magnoliopsida; Poales; Poaceae. The record is from Rfam.
GUCCCUUUGGGGACGUCCAGUAAAACUGAAAUGAUACAGACAAGAUUAUCAUGGCCGCUGCGCAAGGAUGACAUGCAUAAAUCGAGAAAUUGUCCAAAUUUUG